GACGAACGCUGGCGGCGUGCUUAACACAUGCAAGUCGAACGGAAAGGCCCUGCUUUUGUGGGGUGCUCGAGUGGCGAACGGGUGAGUAACCCGUGAGUAACCUGCCCUUGACUUUGGGAUAACUUCAGGAAACUGGGGCUAAUACCGGAUAGGAGCUCCUGCUGCAUGGUGGGGGUUGGAAAGUUUCGGCGGUUGGGGAUGGACUCGCGGCUUAUCAGCUUGUUGGUGGGGUAGUGGCUUACCAAGGCUUUGACGGGUAGCCGGCCUGAGAGGGUGACCGGCCACAUUGGGACUGAGAUACGGCCCAGACUCCUACGGGAGGCAGCAGUAGGGAAUAUUGCACAAUGGGCGGAAGCCUGAUGCAGCAACGCCGCGUGCGGGAUGACGGCCUUCGGGUUGUAAACCGCUUUCGCCUGUGACGAAGCGUGAGUGACGGUAAUGGGUAAAGAAGCACCGGCUAACUACGUG
RNAcentral lists this ribosomal RNA (468 nucleotides) under uncultured bacterium. RNAcentral describes it as "partial 16S ribosomal RNA". It matches the Rfam family "Bacterial small subunit ribosomal RNA", at positions 28 to 507 of the family's 1533-position model. The record is from RNAcentral.